Molecule: small nuclear RNA, 178 nt
Gene: U2
Rfam family: U2 spliceosomal RNA
About the family: U2 is a small nuclear RNA (snRNA) component of the spliceosome (involved in pre-mRNA splicing). Complementary binding between U2 snRNA (in an area lying towards the 5' end but 3' to hairpin I) and the branchpoint sequence (BPS) of the intron results the bulging out of an unpaired adenosine, on the BPS, which initiates a nucleophilic attack at the intronic 5' splice site, thus starting the first of two transesterification reactions that mediate splicing.
Source: Ensembl
AUUGUUUCUCAGCCUUGUGGCUAAAAUCAAGUGUAAUGUCUGUUACCAGUUUAAUAUCUGAUGUAUGCUCUAGCCACGGAGAGUAUGUUACAUGGAUUUUUGGAGCUAAGAGAUGGAGUUUCUGUCCACCCCACACAUCAACCUGGUAUCGCAGUUCCUCCAGAACAGUGCACCGCGC